AGAGCGAACGCUGGCGGCAGGCCUAAUACAUGCAAGUCGAACGGAUCCUUCGGGAUUAGUGGCGGACGGGUGAGUAACACGUGGGAACGUACCCUUUGGUUCGGAACAACUCAGGGAAACUUGAGCUAAUACCGAAUGUGCCCUUCGGGGAAAAGAUUUAUCGCCAUUGGAGCGGCCCGCGUCUGAUUAGCUAGUUGGUAGGGUAAAGGCCUACCAAGGCUACGAUCAGUAGCUGGUCUGAGAGGAUGAUCAGCCACACUGGGACUGAGACACGGCCCAGACUCCUACGGGAGGCAGCAGUAGGGAAUCUUGCGCAAUGGGCGAAAGCCUGACGCAGCCAUGCCGCGUGAAUGAUGAAGGUCUUAGGAUUGUAAAGCCCUGUGGGGAGAGACGAAUAAGGCCAGUCGAACAGGCUGGGUUGAUGACGGUAUCUCCUUAGCAAGCACCGGCUAACUCUGCGCCAGCAGCCGCGGU
This 474-nucleotide ribosomal RNA is filed under the name uncultured bacterium. RNAcentral describes it as "SSU rRNA". It matches the Rfam family "Bacterial small subunit ribosomal RNA", at positions 26 to 521 of the family's 1533-position model. The record is from RNAcentral.